Molecule: ribosomal RNA, 492 nt
Filed under: uncultured bacterium
Lineage: Bacteria
Description: partial 16S ribosomal RNA
Rfam family: Bacterial small subunit ribosomal RNA
Source: RNAcentral
AGUGAACGCUGGCGGUAGGCCUAACACAUGCAAGUCGAACGGCAGCACAGUAAGAGCUUGCUCUUACGGGUGGCGAGUGGCGGACGGGUGAGGAAUACAUCGGAAUCUACUUUUUCGUGGGGGAUAACGUAGGGAAACUUACGCUAAUACCGCAUACGACCUACGGGUGAAAGCAGGGGAUCUUCGGACCUUGCGCGAUUGAAUGAGCCGAUGUCGGAUUAGCUAGUUGGCGGGGUAAAGGCCCACCAAGGCGACGAUCCGUAGCUGGUCUGAGAGGAUGAUCAGCCACACUGGAACUGAGACACGGUCCAGACUCCGACGGGAGGCAGCAGUGGGGAAUAUUGGACGAUGGGCGCAAGCCUGAUCCAGCCAUACCGCGUGGGUGAAGAAGGCCUUUGGGUUGUAAAGCCCUUUUGUUGGGAAAGAAAAGCAGCAGGUUAAUACCCCGCUGUUCUGACGGUACCCAAAGAAUAAGCACCGGCUAACUUCGUG